RNAcentral lists this ribosomal RNA (753 nucleotides) under uncultured eukaryote. RNAcentral's name for it is "bacterial SSU rRNA". It matches the Rfam family "Eukaryotic small subunit ribosomal RNA", at positions 612 to 1207 of the family's 1831-position model. The record is from RNAcentral.
GCUGCUGUUAAAGCUCGUAGUUGGAUCAAGAGUUCGACAGUGCAAGGUGGCCCCGCUUGUUAUGUUGGCUCCGGUCAUCGUAACGGCGGCGGAUAAACCCCUUGCGCCAAACUGUCGUCUCUAACAGACCGAAACGGUUCCCUGUGAGUAGGUUCCUUCAUUGGGGCUGAAAGCGCCUACGCAUCAACCAUAUGCUUACGGGACGUCGGUCAAAGUUACUGUGAACAAACCAGCGUGUCCAAAACAGGCUUUCGCCUGAAUGUUCGAGCAUUGAAUAACAAGGGAUCGAUUCUCUCGGUUCUUUUUGUUGGUUUUUAACCCGAGAAGGAGUAAUUCAGGCCACGGUGUCUGGGCUGGGUUCCCCUAGUCUCCGGAUUAGGCCCCAGUUAGGCCGUGUCCUUACGGGAUCAAUAGGGACUGACGGGGUCGUACGUACUUCCACGUCAGAGGUGAAAUUCUUAGAUCGUGGGAAGACGAACUUCUGCGAAAGCAUUCGACAAGAAUGUCUUCAUUAAUCAAGAACGAGAGUGUGGGGAUCGAAGAUGAUCAGAUACCGUCGUAGUCCACUACUGUAAACAAUGCCGUCUCAGGAUUGAGAAGUGAACCUAAUGACUUUCACAGCACUAACCCCUGAAACGAGAAAUCAAAGAUUAUGGGUUCAGGGGGGAGUACAUUCGCAAGGCUGAAACUUAAAGGAAUUGACGGAAUGACACCACAAGGCGUGGAGUAUGCGGCUUAAUUUGACUCAACACG